UCUGGCUGUACUUGCAACUCUGCCUUGGCUUAUGGGAGACGCUCUCUGCCUUAGCUUAUAGCACACUGCCAUAGGCAAAGUAGAGUUGCAAGUCCAGCAAGA
Molecule: microRNA precursor, 102 nt
Filed under: Picea abies (Norway spruce)
Lineage: Eukaryota; Viridiplantae; Streptophyta; Pinopsida; Pinales; Pinaceae
Description: miR3698 stem-loop (pab-MIR3698)
Source: miRBase by way of RNAcentral